Molecule: long non-coding RNA, 2329 nt
Organism: Erinaceus europaeus (western European hedgehog)
Lineage: Eukaryota; Metazoa; Chordata; Mammalia; Eulipotyphla; Erinaceidae
Exons: 4
Source: RefSeq, a predicted model, not a curated record
UUAAUGUCUUCAGCUGUGGUGCUUUGGGUUGGUUUGUUGCCUGGAAUAUAGACAGUUUAUUUUAUUUUAUUUAUUUAUUUAUUUAUCUGUUUAUUUAUUUAUUUAAUUUAUUUAUCUGUUUAUUUAUUUAUUUAUUUAUUUAUCUGCCUCCAGGGUUGUUGCUGGGCUUGGUGCCUGCACAACGAAUCCACUGCUCCUAGAGGUCAUUGUUUCCCUUUUGUUAUCCUGGUUGUUUUUAUCGUUGUUGUGGUUAUUAUUAUUAUUGCUAUUGAUGUCAUAUUUUUGUAUAGGACAGAGAGAAAUGGAGAGAGGAGGGGAAGACAGAGAGGGGGAGAGAAAGACAGACACCUGCAGACCUGCUUCACCGCCUGUGAAGCGACUCCCCUGCAGGUGGGGAGCCGGGGGCUCAAACUGGGAUCCUCACACCAGGCCUUGCACUUCACACCAUGUGCGCUUAACCCGCUGCGCUACUGCCCGACCCCCAGACAUUUUAUUUUAUUUUUUCUUUUUGCCACCAGGGUUAUAGCUGGGGCUUGGUGCCUGCAUGACUAAUCCAGCUGUCUUGGUGGUGAGUCCAUCUACCCUUCCCCCCUUUCCUUUUAUUUGGUAGGGCAGGGAAAAAUUGAGAGGGGAGGGGGAGAUAGAAAAGGAGAGAGAGAGAGAAGCUCAACCCUGCUUCACCUCUCAUGAGGCUUCCUCUGCAGGUGGGGUGGGGGCUUGAACCCGGGUCCUUGUGCAUGGUAGUGUGUGCACUCACCCAGGAUAUAUGUGUCUUCCCCACCGCCAGGAGCCAGGCUCCCUCUUAGCAAGAAAGGUCUGAGGCCACGGCCCCUGGCAGAGGAGCUGGGUGUGAACUCCUAUGUGGGGCCGUGACUCUGACUGGGCUGGCCCAGCCUGUCCUGUGCAGACCCUCCUGCAGGUGGCCGGGGCUCGUGUCUGCACCCUGUGGCCCGGCCCGGGAGGCCUGGUGCUCUGGGAUGAGUCCGGUGCUGCCUGAGCUUUCAUUCUCGGGGCUCUGCGCCGGAGACCAUAAUGCAAAGUCCAGGGUGUCUUGAGUAAGUGAGCGGCAGGGCACAUAGGAUGCUGUUUACUCAAGAGAGCCCGUCACGCAAAGCCGCUUGCCCAAGCUGCUCUGAAACACCGCGUCACCAGACCACCUUGCGACAGGUGCAGCCCCAGGGAGGUGCUGGUGUCUGCUGGGCUUGGGCAGUACGUACUCUCAGAGCCAUUGGGCCUGGCUGCUGAGGGCAGAGCAGAGGCCUGGGAACUGUCCAUGGGCAGACUGGUCCUCUCCAGGAUGCUUCAGUUCCGUUUUCCGGCUUGCCACUUCCACCUCGGAAGAUAUAAAUGCAGAUGAAUAAAGCCAGCAUUGCACUGCGUUCCCGCUCAGCCACAAGAGUUCCUGGUUCCUCUCCCACAUCACUGACCUGAAAUCUGAUAUGCAGGUGGAUCCAAGUUAUUGUCUGGGGAGAUGAUGUCAUGGCUGAAAAGGAACAGAAAGCUGGAUCAGGGAAGAGAGUAGCUCCCUAAUAUGGAAAAGGGGUAUAAAUAUUGUUGACUGUAAACCCCACUGAUUUGAUUUGGUCUGGGGUUAUUUCUGCAACUGUCUGCAUUUAUAUGUGUCUGCCCAUAGAAAGGUGAAUCUCAACAUUGUUGAGGGAGGGCCCCAGGGAGGCUGUUUGUGGUCUGCUCAGCAGCAGGGGCACCAGGACCAAUGUCCCCAGGAGGAUGAUGGGAACCUGAUCACCCAUCACCACACCCUACUGAGUACAGAGAAGGGGGUAGGUGAUCUCACAAAGAGGCAAAGUAUCAGGUAAGUGCUCAUGGCCUGAGCACAAGGACCAGUGUAAGGAUGCUGGUCCAAGCCCCCAGCUUCCCACCUGCAGGGGAGUUGCUUUACAAGUGGUGAAGCAGGUCUGUAAGUGUCUUUCUUUCUCUCCUCCUCUCUAUCUUACCCUCUUCUCGAUUUUUCUCUGUCCUAUACAAGAACAAUGACAGCAAAGACAACAAUAAUAAUAACAAUGACGAUAAACAACAAGGACAACUAAAGGGAAAAAUGGCCUCCAGCAGUGGAUUUGUAGUGCAGGCUCUGAGCCCGGCAAUAACCCUGGAGGCAAAUAUCAUUUCGCCAAGACAAGGCUCAACAAGCCCACCGUCAGUGAGUGUCACAUGUGCAGCUGACCCUGGAUACAUCCUGCAGUCAGACUCAUGGUCCCUGGAGGAAGGAGCAGGAGGCUCCUGGGAGCCUCUGUGUGCGGGCUCUGUGCUCACACCCACCCCACCCCUGCCUUGCCUCCAGAGUGGGACUCACACCUGUCAUGUCAGCAUC